Molecule: unclassified non-coding RNA, 209 nt
Filed under: Hevea brasiliensis (rubber tree)
Lineage: Eukaryota; Viridiplantae; Streptophyta; Magnoliopsida; Malpighiales; Euphorbiaceae
Source: RNAcentral
CUAACAUGAAUCCCUUUACAUUUACUUGUGUUUGCUAGCAUGUCAAUAACCAAAUCCAGAGGCCAAUUUGGGACUUACAUGCUAAGUGCUCGUCUUAUUUGUUUGACUUGGUGUCUAGGUGGGCAUAUUUAGAGGCAUACAUUUUAUUUUAGCCUAAAAUAAUCUUAAUAGUAGUUCAAAGUCUUUUGAACAUUAAGCAAGGAUGUUAG